AUGCUCUCUCUCUCCUCGUCGCUUUCUCCUCGAGCCCCCACCUUCUCUCUCCUCAUCCGCUUCUCUCUCCCCGUUCGCGUCCCGGCCACCCGAACCCGCCCUGGUGCCUCCCCGCCGCAGCUCUGGCCCGCAGCGCCCAACAUCCCGCGUCGCCCCGCCAGCCCUCUGCGCCCGGUCGGCCUCCCACACCGCGCCACCCUGCCAAACGGAGAGCUCGCGGGCUUGGCGAGGCUGCGCUCGAGCUUGUGCGCGUUCCUCGUGGCGCUCCAGCACACGGUCCGCUCCGCUCCAGCCCCAUUCCCGGCGCACUUCGAGGCCCCACUUCUCCUCCCCUUCGCCCUCCCGGUCAGCCGGUGUUGCGGCCAGAUCAGCGGUGUUGUCCAGGCGGAGGCCGCUGUCGAUGACGAGGAGGAGGCGCUCUGCCCCAUCUGCCUCGACGCCAUGGAGUUGGGCCGUGACGUGCGCGUCCUCCCCAGCUGCAACCGCGCCUUCCACGAGGACUGCGACGAUCGGUGGCUGGCCAUCUCGCCUGGGUGGCCGCCCUGCUCAGCCGCACGGUCGAGCUCGUCCGGUCGGACAACGCCAUGUACGCCUCCUGCAGGACCAUGGUGCACGCGCUCUCGCGCUUGCCUGUGCGUGGCAAGGAGGACGGCGGCGAGUUCGCGUGCAAGUCCAUCCCUGCUGGCGCGAGUUGGUGCUACCGCGCGCGCUGCUUUGCUGCUGCCCAAGGCGGGCGAGCGACGGGGCACAGUGAGUCACGCGAGAUGGCAAGGACUGUGGCGGGAUCAUCGUGGUGUCUUCCUCGCCUCAUUGUCGAGCUAG
This 822-nucleotide ribosomal RNA is filed under the name Triticum aestivum (bread wheat). Its description in RNAcentral is "partial small subunit ribosomal RNA". The record is from RNAcentral. Lineage: Eukaryota; Viridiplantae; Streptophyta; Magnoliopsida; Poales; Poaceae.